CGUCAAAUAUCAUACAACGACAGCGAAACAAAGUAGUAAUAUCUAAAUCGUCUUCCUCAUCAUCGUUACUGCCAUUCGAGUCUUUUUCAUCGCACAACUUAUCCCAUUCUAUUACAUUAAUGAAUCGGUUCCAUAGAAGAGUGUCAUUUAGUAUAGAAAUAUACUUCCUUUUUUGUUCUGGGGACAAAUAAAGGCUCCAAUAAUCAUUUUUAAGCAGCGCGAUUGCAAUGUCAUGAAGAACAGGCUCAUCCAACGACUUUGAAUCUUCGAAAUUAGUCUCCAUUCAAAUUCUCCUUCCCUAUGUAUAAUAGUUCAUAAAUGACGCGUGAUAAAUUAAAUUAACAACCACAAUGGAUAAAAAAUAACACUUGAGAUAUGUGAAGGUUUCAUACUCGUUUGUUUCGCUAGCGUCGGAUAUGGAUACACAGCGAUUUCCUGAAAUAUGUUUAACGUACUGUAACAAUUGAAAAUAACGAUAGAAAUGAA
Schizosaccharomyces pombe (fission yeast) is the source of this 486-nucleotide non-coding RNA. The record is from the annotation of a GenBank genome assembly. NCBI's taxonomy places the organism in Eukaryota, Fungi, Ascomycota, Schizosaccharomycetes, Schizosaccharomycetales, Schizosaccharomycetaceae.